This 435-nucleotide long non-coding RNA is filed under the name Canis lupus familiaris (dog). RNAcentral describes it as "lncRNA (ENSCAFG00000051805.1)". The record is from RNAcentral. Lineage: Eukaryota; Metazoa; Chordata; Mammalia; Carnivora; Canidae.
CACGUGUCUUUGACUUGCUCUACCUGAAAAUACUACUUCUUGCCACUCUUGAACCACAGGAGAAAAACACUGGAACUUUGAAGCUAUACCAAGCCUCCCUGCCAACAUUGCCAUCUUUUCCAUACAGUGGCUACCAGGAACGCCACAGAGAAGAUGAGCAACUAGUCCCUCUAAUUUCGAGCCAGGUGCCCCACUCUACCUUGUUCCUCCCAGUGGACAUGGCAGGUGCCACCUUGUUAUUUUUACCUUCUUACCUGCUCCACUUAGUUUUGAUGAAUGAUGCAGUCUUGAGAAAUGACAUUCAGAGUGUCAAGGGGUUUGAUGAUCAGGAAAAACAAAAAACAAAAGCAUAAAGACAUUGAGAUUUCUUCACUACUCUUGACUGCAGCAACAACUUGGAUUGCAGGAAUAAAAUGGCCUGUGACAUAAAUUCAG